CCUACGGGAGGCAGCAGUGGGGAAUAUUGCACAAUGGGGGAAACCCUGAUGCAGCGACGCCGCGUGAGUGAAGAAGUAUCUCGGUACGUAAAGCUCUAUCAGCAGGGAAGAAAAUGACGGUACCUGACUAAGAAGCCCCGGCUAACUACGUGCCAGCAGCCGCGGUAAUACGUAGGGGGCAAGCGUUAUCCGGAUUUACUGGGUGUAAAGGGAGCGCAGACGGCAGCGCAAGUCUGGAGUGAAAGCCCGGGGCCCAACCCCGGAACUGCUCUGGAAACUGUGCGGCUAGAGUACUGGAGGGGCAGGCGGAAUUCCGAGGGUAGCGGGGAAAGGCGUAGAGAGGAGGAGGAACACCAGGGGCGAAGGCGGCCUGCUGGACAGUAACUGACGUUGAGGCUCGAAAGCGUGGGGAGCAAACAGGAUUAGAUACCCCAGUAGUC
This 440-nucleotide ribosomal RNA is filed under the name uncultured bacterium. RNAcentral's name for it is "partial 16S ribosomal RNA". It matches the Rfam family "Bacterial small subunit ribosomal RNA", at positions 338 to 795 of the family's 1533-position model. The record is from RNAcentral.